Molecule: unclassified non-coding RNA, 279 nt
Filed under: Hevea brasiliensis (rubber tree)
Lineage: Eukaryota; Viridiplantae; Streptophyta; Magnoliopsida; Malpighiales; Euphorbiaceae
Source: RNAcentral
GACCGUCCAGCCGCCCAUUCUUCCUUGUUCCUUCCUCUCUCGAAGACUCACCCUUCAAUCCUUCAUUCCUUUAAGGCUCUCUACUUCAAAACUUCUUUAUUCUCUCCUCUUCUUUUUUUAUUUCUCCAUUUCAAAAUCACAAGUCCCCUCUAGUCUCAGUGCUCUAUGUGUCUCUUGCGUCUCAGCCUCCAUCCUCAAAUGCAUCUCCCAUCUUACGUCUUCAAGCUCCAAAUUUGAUGAAUCCAUAGAUUCAACACUUUUGGGCAGAUUCAUCUUCAA